Molecule: long non-coding RNA, 1343 nt
Organism: Gigantopelta aegis
Lineage: Eukaryota; Metazoa; Mollusca; Gastropoda; Neomphalida; Peltospiridae
Exons: 4
Source: RefSeq, a predicted model, not a curated record
GUGUAAAAUGUACACCACUCCAGCUUUUAAAUAUCUAAUAUGGAGGAUGGAAACACGCAUAUGUACACAGGGAAGGCUUCUAGGGAAAGGGAUAUGCAGUGAUAAAACGUACAAAAGGCUUUCAUGAUAGAGGCCCCAAUAUGACGUCAUUUAAUUGUAUAACUGCGUAAAUUACAUAACCUAAACUUUAUGAAGCUUAAACAAUUGUUUUAGUAUUUUAAUUUCUAUUUUUGUGAGGUAGUAAAGCUGUUUUUGUUUUAAUGAUAAUGGUGUGAGUUAAUCACGGGGAUGGAUACCGAUACUGCCACAAGAGGAUGUGCUAUAUAUAAAAGACUGUUCAUUUGUGGUUGGUCAAAAAAGGAGGAUACCUUCAAAGACAAGUAUAAUGAUGUUGUCCUUGAUGAGAUACAGUCAGUGGGCCAAACGUGUAGCUUCAGUGGCUCCGAUAUCACCGACUUCUCCCUCGAUACGGAUGUCCCUACAAACUACCACCACCACCAUGGAGGCCACCAUCAUGGCAUGGGCAAACAUCCCAGCACCGACCCAGUGUUUGAAUCUACAUUACCGACCAUCAGUAGUCAGUACUCCAGUGAACAGAGAGAAUAAUACCCACACUGAAGAAUCAGAAGAUCAGCAAAACAUUGUAAUACACCAGUGGAAUACGAGAUUGGUUAUGACAUAAGUGCAGAAACUGCCAUUUGUAUACUCAUAUUAGCUAUUACAAUUAAAGUUUCUUCCUUUCUACACAUAAAGCAAAGCAUUGUAAUAAACGAGUGGAAUACCAGAUUGGUUAUGACAUCAGUGCAAGAACUGCCAUUUGUAUACUCAUAUUAGCUAUUACAAUUAAAGUUUCUUCCUUUCCACACAUAAAGCAAAGCAUUGUAAUACACCAGUGGAAUACCAGAUUGGUUAUGACAUCAGUGCAAGAACUGCCAUUUGUAUACUCAUAUUAGCUAUUACAAUUAAAGUUUCUUCCUUUCCACACAUAAAGCAAAGCAUUGUAAUACACCAGUGGAAUACCAGAUUAGAACUGCCAUUUGUAUACUCAUAUUAGCUAUUACAAUUAAAGUUUCUUCCUUUCCACACAUAAAGCAAAGCAUUGUAAUACACCAGUGGAAUACCAGAUUAGAACUGCCAUUUGUAUACUCAUAUUAGCUAUUACAAUUAAAGUUUCUUCCUUUCUACACAUAAAGCAAAGCAUUGUAAUACACCAGUGGAAUACCAGAUUGGUUAUGACAUCAGAGCAAGAACUGCCAUUUGUAUACUCAUAUUAGCUAUUACAAUUAAAGUUUCUUCUUUUCUACACAUAAAGCAAAGCAUUGUAAUAAACGAGUGGAAUACCA